This 341-nucleotide unclassified non-coding RNA is filed under the name uncultured fungus. Its description in RNAcentral is "partial contains 5.8S ribosomal RNA, internal transcribed spacer 2, and large subunit ribosomal RNA". The stretch from base 1 to 52 matches the Rfam family "5.8S ribosomal RNA", at positions 103 to 154 of the family's 154-position model. The record is from RNAcentral. Lineage: Eukaryota; Fungi.
AACGCACCUUGCGCUCUUGGGUAUUCCUAAGAGCAUGUCUGUUUGAGUGUCGCGAAACCUAUCAAAGCUCCCUUUUCUUGUUAUGAGGAGAGAGACUGGGCUUUGGAUUGUGGCAAUUGUACUUUUUUUUUUUGGAAAGAGUAACAGCCGAAAUUGAAUAUGAAAGGGUUCCUCUUUUCUUCGAGCUUGUGGAAAGCCUGGCUCUGCGUAAUAAUUAUUUCGCGUUGCCUUUUUAGUGCUUUCCGAUUAAAAACAGCAGGAAACAAAGACACCCUACAAAUAAUAUAUAAUAAUUUAUAAUAAUAGACCUCAAAUCAGGCAGGACUACCCGCUGAACUUAA